UACUGAGACACGGACCAGACUCCUACGGGAGGCAGCAGUGAGGAAUAUUGAACAAUGGGCGCAAGCCUGAUCCAGCCAUGCCGCGUGCAGGAUGACGGUCCUAUGGAUUGUAAACUGCUUUUAUACGAGAAGAAACACUCCUUCGUGAAGGAGCUUGACGGUAUCGUAAGAAUAAGGAUCGGCUAACUCCGUGCCAGCAGCCGCGGUAAUACGGAGGAUCCAAGCGUUAUCCGGAAUCAUUGGGUUUAAAGGGUCCGUAGGCGGUUUAAUAAGUCAGUGGUGAAAGCCCAUCGCUCAACGGUGGAACGGCCAUUGAUACUGUUAAACUUGAAUUAUUAGGAAGUAACUAGAAUAUGUAGUGUAGCGGUGAAAUGCUUAGAGAUUACAUGGAAUACCAAUUGCGAAGGCAGGUUACUACUAAUUGAUUGACGCUGAUGGACGAAAGCGUGGGUAGCGAACAGGAUUAGAUACCCUGGUAGUCCACGCCGUAAACGAUGGAUACUAGCUGUUGGAAGCAAUUUCAGUGGCUAAGCGAAAGUGAUAAGUAUCCCACCUGG
RNAcentral lists this ribosomal RNA (557 nucleotides) under uncultured Bacteroidota bacterium. Its description in RNAcentral is "bacterial SSU rRNA". It matches the Rfam family "Bacterial small subunit ribosomal RNA", at positions 317 to 876 of the family's 1533-position model. Lineage: Bacteria; Pseudomonadati; Bacteroidota. The record is from RNAcentral.